This 261-nucleotide ribosomal RNA is filed under the name uncultured bacterium. RNAcentral describes it as "partial small subunit ribosomal RNA". It matches the Rfam family "Bacterial small subunit ribosomal RNA", at positions 26 to 288 of the family's 1533-position model. The record is from RNAcentral.
AGGACGAACGCUGGCGGCGUGCUUAACACAUGCAAGUCGAGCGACGCCCCUCCUUCGGGAGGAUGACGGAGCGGCGAACGGGUGAGUAACACGUGGGCAACCUGCCCCUAGCUCUGGGAUAACCCCGGGAAAUCGGGACUAAUACCGGAUAUGAAGUCGGACGGCAUCGUCUGACUUGGAAAGUUUUUCGGCUAGGGAUGGGCCCGCGGCCUAUCAGCUUGUUGGUGGGGUAAUGGCCUACCAAGGCGACGACGGGUAGCC